UGUAAAAUAAGCUAAGCACAAGCUCUUGGGCUCAUACCCCAAAUAUGAAUAUACUAUUCUUUUACAA
RNAcentral lists this transfer RNA (67 nucleotides) under Bathytoma punicea. Its description in RNAcentral is "tRNA-Met". Lineage: Eukaryota; Metazoa; Mollusca; Gastropoda; Neogastropoda; Conidae. The record is from RNAcentral.